CCUACGGGAGGCAGCAGUGGGGAAUUUUGGACAAUGGGGGCAACCCUGAUCCAGCCAUUCCGCGUGAGUGAAGAAGGCCUUCGGGUUGUAAAGCUCUUUCGCAAGGGAAGAAAACUUAUGAUCGAAUAAAUCAUGAGGUUGACGGUACCUUGAUAAGAAGCACCGGCUAACUACGUGCCAGCAGCCGCGGUAAUACGUAGGGUGCGAGCGUUAAUCGGAAUUACUGGGCGUAAAGCGUGCGCAGGCGGUUUUGUAAGUCGGAUGUGAAAUCCCCGGGCUCAACCUGGGAACUGCGUUCGAAACUGCAAGGCUAGAGUGUGUCAGAGGGGGGUAGAAGUUCCACGUGUAGCAGUGAAAUGCGUAGAGAUGUGGAGGAAUACCAAUGGCGAAGGCAGCCCCCUGGGAUAACACUGACGCUCAUGCACGAAAGCGUGGGGAGCAAACAGGAUUAGAUACCCUGGUAGUCCACGCCCUAAACGAUGUCAACUAGUUGUUGGUAGAGUAAAAUCUAUGAGUAACGUAGCUAACGCGUGAAGUUGACCGCCUGGGGAGUACGGUCGCAAGAUUAAAACUUAAAGGAAUUGACGG
RNAcentral lists this ribosomal RNA (588 nucleotides) under uncultured bacterium. RNAcentral's name for it is "bacterial SSU rRNA". It matches the Rfam family "Bacterial small subunit ribosomal RNA", at positions 338 to 916 of the family's 1533-position model. The record is from RNAcentral.